RNAcentral lists this long non-coding RNA (1216 nucleotides) under Sus scrofa (pig). Its description in RNAcentral is "lncRNA (ENSSSCG00005034944.1)". The record is from RNAcentral. Lineage: Eukaryota; Metazoa; Chordata; Mammalia; Artiodactyla; Suidae.
UUUUUUUUUUUUUUUUUUUGCCACAGCUGUGAUAUGUGGAAGUUCCUGGACCAGGGAUUGAACCUAUACCAUAGCAGUAACCAGAGCCACAGUACUGACAACACCAGAUCCUUAACCUGCUGAGCCACCAGUGAACUCCUGGCAUUAUAAUCUUAUUUCUCUUGAUUGUUGAGUUUGGGGGCAUCCUCUUAAAUUUUGUGGCCUAGGAAGUGCCUUACCCCAGUAUCGGCCCUGUCUGGAGCCUGGUAUUCGCUCUCUUCAUCUGUCCGUGCUUGAGGAUGAAUGGAUGAGCCAGAAGGAAGCUGGGAGCCAGGCAACCACCAACACUUGCAAUAGCAGGGCAGCAGCUCCAAGCAAGGGUCCUAGGUCAGGGCAGUCCUGGCUCAGAAAUUGACUUCAUUUUUUUAACCCCUUGGGCAAUUAUGGAGCCUCAAUUUCCCCUUCUGUAACAUGGGGAGAAAGUAACUACCUCAUGGGGUGAUCAUGAGGGGUAACUGACACCUUUACUGUUAACUCGGACCACUUCUCAGCCAGCCUGAGUCUCUCCCUGGUCACCUAUUCAACAUCUCCACAUGAUUAUCUAUUAAACCAAAUGCAAUUCCUGGAUCUAACUUCCAAAACCACUUCCAGGGUCUCCACCCUUUCAGGUGCUCAGGCUACAAGCUUUGACUUGCCUCUUUCCUUUCCCCCACCCACUGCUCACCUUCUGUCACCUCCCUGGUCCUGCCCCAGCACUGAUCCAUCCGAACCAGUGCAGUCGCCUCCUCCAUGGUCCCCCAGCUUCUGCUGUUGACCUCCACACUCUGUUCCCACACAAUGGCCAGAGGGCACCUUGAACAUCUGAGUCAGGGCACAGACCUCUGCUCAGAACCUUCCAUUGCUCCCAGCUGAUUCCAAGCAAAAUCCUUCUCUCCCCCCAGCACACCAGGCCAGCACAAUCUGGUCCAUCACCUCCGUCCCCUCACUUCUUCCUUUUUGUGCCCUCACUCACUCACUCCAGCCACACGAGCUCUCUCAUGGAUCCUUUGAACACCCAGCAUGUUUCUGCCUCAGAACCUUUACACAGACCCUUCCCUCUGCCUGGAACCCCCCUCCCCCCCCCCAGCUCUCCAAAACUCUUCCCUCACCUCUUCCGGUCUUUAUCCAAAUAUCACCAUCUCAGAGAGGUCUUCCCCGACUUCCUCGAUCUCACAUUGCAGCCAUCACCUCGUCUCUU